AUUGAACGCUGGCGGCAUGCUUUACACAUGCAAGUCGAACGGCAGCGCGGGCUUCGGCCUGGCUGCGAGUGGCGAACGGGUGUGUAAUGCAUCGGAACGUGCCCAGUAGUGGGGGAUAGCACGGCGAAAGCCGGAUUAAUACUGCAUACGACCUGAGGGUGAUAGCGGGGGACCGAAAGGCCUCGCGCUAUUUGAGCGGCCGAUGUCGGAUUAGCUAGUUGGUGGGGUAAAGGCUUACCAAGGCGACGAUCCGUAGCUGGUCUGAGAGGACGACCAGCCACACUGGGACUGAGACACGGCCCAGACUCCUACGGGAGGCAGCAGUGGGGAAUUUUGGACAAUGGGGGCAACCCUGAUCCAGCCAUGCCGCGUGCGAGAAGAAGGCCUUCGGGUUGUAAACCGCUUUUGUUCGGGAAGAAAUCCUCUGGGCUAAUACCCCGGGGGGAUGACGGUACCGGAAGAAUAAGCACCGGCUAACUACGUG
Molecule: ribosomal RNA, 484 nt
Filed under: uncultured bacterium
Lineage: Bacteria
Description: partial 16S ribosomal RNA
Rfam family: Bacterial small subunit ribosomal RNA
Source: RNAcentral